This is a long non-coding RNA of Brassica napus (rape), 4713 nucleotides long. RefSeq lists it as uncharacterized. NCBI's taxonomy places the organism in Eukaryota, Viridiplantae, Streptophyta, Magnoliopsida, Brassicales, Brassicaceae. The record is from RefSeq and is a predicted model, not a curated record. The transcript is spliced from 5 exons.
UUUUCAUGGACUAUGAUGUCCAACCAACCAUAGAUUAUUUCAACUGGUAUGUAUCCCCGUCUUCAGCAUCUAUUCUAUACAGAUUCAUGUGAAGCGCACAGUUACACAUAUUGAAGUGAAUGACUGAAUCAAUGUUUUUUUAUUUUGUGUUAGGCUCGGCUCAAACCCAGAGAUUGCUAAGCAAGUUAGUGCAGACGUCGUCACCAAGUGUGAGACACUGACUAUAGCAGAUAUAUUCUCUUACAUGAAGCAAGAAUUUGCAAAGGUAAAAAUAAAGCUAAAUACUUCUUACUCAGUUUGAAACACUAAGAUUUGUAUAUCAAAUGCUUAUAAACUGUUGUAGGAUGCCUUUUUUGAGUGCACGGCUACGAAUGAUGUUGUUCAUGGCUCUGCUUGGUACUAUAUUGCAUACAGUGGGUGCCAUGCUAAGGCUACCAAAGGCGCAACAUCGUUGGUUUGUAAAAACACGAAAUGUGAGAAGGUUAACACAGCUGGUGUUUGUGGAAACCGAAAUUCACACCGUCGAGUUUUGUUAAUCGGAGGAAAGCCAAGUUAACCUAGCCUUCCCUGAAGGUCCCGGUUAUCUGCUGGGCCACACACGACACGAUCAAUAUCAAAGAAUAAAAUGAAAAUAAGUAGAAAAAGAGAAUAAGAGGAUCUUAUUUCCGAAUUCGGGUUUGAGCGUGAACAACAAGUAAAGACCUAGGCUACAAGAGCUGUCGGUACGUUCGCUAGUCUAGCGACCUAAAUCUAAACUAGUUGAGUCGCAACUCGAUUAGUAAAAGCGGAAAAAGAUGCCUAAAUUGCUCUAAGUGCUAAGUUGCUCUGAUGUGCCCUGAUCUCCCUUCCCUCUUCGUCCUAGGUCCUGCUUAUAUACUCCUCCUUAGGUCAGUUUACCUCUUCUUGGGCCGGAUUUGUCGCGAAGCGGGCUUUUCCAUAUUUCCUUCUUCUUUGUGAUUAUCUUCGAAAAUUUGACAUUUAUCUUUUCCCGCGGAUGAGAUAAACCGUCAUACCAGUCUUCGGGCUCAAGUCUUUUGGGACCAUAGAUGGGCCGUUGUCUGCAAUUUGGACCCUCUUUGCGCCGUAUCGAGACUUAAGCAUUUUUACGAUUUUACUCGCGAAGUAGCCGUUGGUAUAGGCAUGGUUCUUCCAACGGAACCCUGUUUCUUCGCAUAGCCGAGGCAUUUGGUGUUAAGUUAACUGUAACCUGCUCUACUACGAAGAAUAAGAAACCGUUCGAGAGACAUAACCUUCCCAACUUCCCGAAUACUUUCGACGAUGUUUUUCAGACGGAACAUUGGUGUCGUAUCCACGGACCCGAAGACUGAGUUACGGAAACUUCGGACGAAGAUGCAUGGUUAUGGGAUGGGACCGGGUUCCGAAUGGUCCACGGAGAAUUGGCCGCGCUUGCCGGGCGAGCUGAUCCGUGCCACGAUCGAGCUCGCCGGCGAGCCAACCGGCAACACGGUCGUACUCGCCGGGCGAGCUGGCUCGUGUCACGGCCGAGCUCGCCGGCGAGUCGACCGGCAACACGGUCGUGCUCGCCGGGCGAGCUGGCUCGUGUCGCGGCCGAGCUCGCCGGCGAGUCAACCGGCAACACGGUCGUGCUCGCCGGGCGAGCUGGCUCGUGUCAUGGUCGAGCUCACCGGCGAGUCGACCGGCAACACGAUCGUGCUCGCCGGCAAGUCGACCGGCAACAAGGUCGUGCCCGCCGGGCGAGCUGGCUCGUGUCAUGGUCGAGCUCGCCGGGCGAUCCGUUUCGGCUAUUCGUUUUCCCGGCUUUCGAAGUUUUGACCGAGAUUCGGUUUUUCUAAGGACUUUCGGACAUCGAUUCCGUCGUGGCCGAUUUUGAUCCCAACAGUGUUCCUCAGUAUGUUCUCUCGCCUGAACACUUAAUUACUCUUUAUCUGGUAUUUGCUUCUGCUUAUUAUAUUGGUGACGUUUCCUUCUGAUUCUUUCUUAACAGGUACCGUGUAAAGAUAUCUGUUUAUGACAACAGUGGCCAAACUGUUUUUGUCCUACUUGGUGAUGCUGGCUGUGUGUUGACCGGGAGGCACACAUCGGAGUUAGUUAGCAGCUACUUUGAGGUAAAUAUUCAUCAGUUUAUGCUCUCAGAUAAUUUCAUCUCACACUGUUGUUCUUAAAUGAUAGGCUAAUGAGAACGAAGGAGCUGACCAUGAGGUGCCUGUCCCGGAAGCUCUAAUCAGCACCAUCGGACAGACACAUAAGUUUUGUGUGAAAGUUACAGAGCAUAACUUCUCUGGCAAUACCCGAGCUAUAACUGUCACCAAGAUCGUCUCUCUAGACACACCACCACCCACAGAAGCCUCUAUUGAAAACAACAUUGCUGACACGUCCGAGGAGACAGUGCAGACUGGGAAUGAAGUGUGUGAGCCUUCCAAAAGCCGUGGUGAUUCUGCAGAUGAGGAGAGUAAGAGGACGUUUGACAGUGUUAAUCCAGAGAAAGACAAACGCCCAAGAUGUGAGAAUUAAGCUUCGGUUCAUGGAUGUUUAAGUCUUUGCUUUAUAGUUCAAGUAUUGACUUGUUUUUUUUUAAGUUUGCUGCAGUUUAAGUACUAUUUUGGUUUAUAUAAAGACAAUGCGUUGUUUCUUUCCAUUUCAGAAUUUGUCUUUUUAAUCAUUUGAACUAUCUUUCUUAUAAUCACUUCUGUCUAUACUUAUGUUUACUGAUUACUUUCUUUAAAUCUGCUUGACCAAUCGGGUUGUUUGCUAUACUUUGUCUUUUAAUCAAUUGAACUAUCUUUUGGUUUUGUUUGCAAAAAAAUUCAAAGAAGAGAUAAGUGUUUGAUUGAAUAAUGAAUGGGCCUCGCUUUUUUAUUUUAAUUAUUGUAUCUCAAGUUCAACGUAUUACUGUGUAAAUUAAACCCCAUAUUUGAAAAUGAUAUGCAUGCAGCAUGAGCGCAUACCUUAAUUAUUGUUUAUUGUUUAUUGUUUGCUGUUACUUAUAUAUAAUAAGGUUUCGCAAUGGCCUGAAACAACUCAUCAACCUCUGAACAAUGGCGACCAUUCCCUCUCACAACCAUCUUCUCCCUAAGCCGACCAUCUAAUCAGCUCACUCUCUUUCCUUCAAACCAUAAUUUGCCGGAGGAUGUUCGCCGGCGAUAUAAAGAAGCUAAAGAAUCAAAGAAUUUGAAAGACAUGUGUAGAAAGACAAAGAGUUUAAAAAAUGCCCGACUCACAAAAUCUUCCAAGAUUACAUGAUUACAAAUUUGGAACCAUACCCGUACUCACGUGUUGUUUUCUACCGUCAGGAAUAAGUUGGUUGUGAGGAUCGCUGUUUCAACGGAAUGGAUAACCCACCUAAUGAUCAACCCAUCGAAGCUUCAGCCGGUCAGACGUACAAAAGGAAACGAGGACGUACCCAUGGAUCACGUACAAAAUCAAAAGGUAUUCCUGAGUCUCGAACACAUUUAAUUUUCAAAUUCAAAAGUUCUGUUGGAUAUUACUAAAAUGGUGUAUAUUUUCAGUUCAUCUGAUCAAUAAUCGACCAACAUUCAAACCAAAAUUCUUUGACUGUAAAUUUAUAUGGAAUAUAAUACCAUACUUUUACAAAACUUACUCAUUAAACUAACUGAGUUUUAUAUUUAAUCAAAUAGGUAGAUGUGAUGAUUGUGUCUCAUAUAGUACGUAACAAUACUCCAUUAUCUACCCCCUAAGUUAUACUCCCAAAGUUCGUACACUGAUAAAGCUAUACUCACAUCCCGAAAUGAUACUGACGAUGAAAUCAAUGCAUAUACAAUCUCCAAAACCGACGGGGAGUCGAGAGACUACUACAGCUACGAUAGCUUCGAGGUUUCAGAAACUCAGUCUGAUCAAAACGAUACAUUAUAUGCGAUUGAGUAACUCACUCUCAAAGUUGGGGCCCCAAUUAUGUUUCUGCGAAACAUAAAUUAACAAAAAGGAUUAUGUAAUGGUACCCGUUUGAUCCUAACCCACAUAGGCGAAAGAGUGCUUAAGGCAGGCAUAAUCACUGGAUCACACAUUGGAGACGAAGUUUUAAUCCCAAGAAUUGUUCUCUUGCAUGAUGAAACAAAGCUGCCGUUCACUUUACGUCGACGACAAUUCCCUAUCAGAUUGUGUUAUGCAAUGACAAUCAACAAAAGCCAGGGGCAAAGCUUAAAAGAGGUUAUCCUAUAUCUACCUAGACCGGUCUUCACACAUGGUCAACUCUAUGUGGCCCUCUCACGUAUAACAAGCAAAGCAGGAUUAAAAAUCAUCAAAAGCGAAGAUUCACACCCACGGAAGUAUUCUAGCUAUCAACAGAAAUGAAUCAAAGUUAAAACUCCUUCCCUGAUGAUAUAUAUCUCACUACUUUCAAGCUCUCCAACUCAAGAAAUACCAUCACAUCUACACGCCCUUUUCGUCAAAAAGUUCCACCAUCUUAUUUAUGAUUUCCGCUUCUCUGUUUUAAGACUUUUACAUCUGCUCUUAAUAAUAAUACUGACUUUCCUCUGAUUCUAAACAUGGUUUAUAACAAAUUUUAUUUUUAAAACUGAUCUACUGUACUCUGGACAACCAAAAAAGUUAGCCAAAACAAACAAAAAACAGCUCAAACAUCGUCAUAUACGCAUUGGAAUUUAAAUAUAUAUAAGCUAACUCCAAAUUAUCGGAGAUUAUCAUCUAAAAUCAAAUUAUUUUAACGCAUUUUCCGCGCGUAGCCCGGACAACGACUCUAGUUAGAGUAAAGACAUA